Long non-coding RNA from Erinaceus europaeus (western European hedgehog), 492 nucleotides. RefSeq lists it as uncharacterized. Lineage: Eukaryota; Metazoa; Chordata; Mammalia; Eulipotyphla; Erinaceidae. The transcript has 4 exons. The record is from RefSeq and is a predicted model, not a curated record.
GACGUGAGCGACAGGCUGCUGAGCGUCUCCGAGUGCUCGCUGCCCCCGCCGCCGCCCGCGCCGCGCCCGCCCUCCUCGUCCGAGGGGUCCAUGGAGUCGUGGAGAGCUCCAGUAUGGGGGGGGGGGCAUACCUGCCGCAGGAGGGUGCAGUUGACGCUCGGGGACCGCAGGGAUGCCCAGGAGCCCUGCAGGGCAAUCUUGGGGAGGACCCCAGUGCUGGCACCCUUCUCCGGCCCCUUCUGGCUGGCCGACACCGCAGGGUGGAAGAACUCAGCAGGCAUGGUAUAUUGUUGGGGUGAGGAGUCAUAGCUCUUAAAGCCAUGAGGACACAGAUUCAAGAGCCCAGGUCCUAGCUAAGGAGGUGGAGCAAGGAGGUCCGGACAGGAUUGAAUGGGAUGGCCUCCAUCUCACACAGGAAGUUCUCUGGACCCGAGGAGACAGCUGUGUUGGACAAGGGGAAGAAGCACUCACCCAGGUCCCCCACACGCACUG